RNAcentral lists this long non-coding RNA (778 nucleotides) under Scleropages formosus (Asian bonytongue). RNAcentral describes it as "lncRNA (ENSSFOG00015027697.1)". Lineage: Eukaryota; Metazoa; Chordata; Actinopteri; Osteoglossiformes; Osteoglossidae. The record is from RNAcentral.
CCUUUCUGCAUUUUAUAUGUUCAAAAUGACUUAUUUUCUGUUUACGUAAAGCUCAGUGGCGUAUGUCCCUAUUAAGAAAAUAUUUCUUCAUCAAGUUUAAUUGAUUAUAUGUUGGAGUUAAGAACAAUUUAUUUCCUGUUCAACCCCCCUGCGUGCGCGCACACACACACACACACGCACACACACACACCCAUAAAUGCAUACAGAUGGAUUCACUUGAAGAGUUUGAAUAAUUCAUGACUAUUUAACCAUGCAGGUCCACCGCGGACUACAUUUUGUAAUCGUUUAAGCAGCUGUCUCCAGAGAGGUGUCGUUGAGGUAACGCUUUAAAAUCCGAGCUUAAGGCUGUCGUUUGUCUCACUUAUUUCCACCCGUGCGCAAGCAAGCGCUCUAGUGGUUGCAGACCUACAAGGCCUUGAUCAUAUUUUUAGGCUAAAGAUGUUGACUCUUCGAGGGCCUGCCGGGAGACGGACCAAAGCCGGAGGGAGACCUAAGCUGUAACGGUCCUUUGCGCGUUCGAAUCGUCCUUUACGUGAGGAUCGUCGCUCCGGAUCCAUCCGGGAGCCUCGCAACAGCCCGUCGUGUUCGUCGUCCCCGGUUCGGGACCAUCUUUCUUAGACCGAGCCUGGGCCCGUGUUACGGUGAAGGCAGAUCGAGCAGGAGCUCGACGUUCGAGCGUCUAACCCUACCCACGAAGGCGCCGAAAUCGCGGAGGAAAUCUUUGCUUUUGCGCUCCGUGGUAGCCAGCUCAUUUCAAGGUACAUUGCGCGGAGAGGGA